UACGUAGGGUGCAAGCGUUGUCCGGAAUUAUUGGGCGUAAAGAGCUCGUAGGCGGUCUGUCGCGUCUGCUGUGAAAACUCGGGGCUUAACCCCGAGCCUGCAGUGGAUACGGGCAGACUAGAGGUAGGUAGGGGAGAAUGGAAUUCCCGGUGUAGCGGUGAAAUGCGCAGAUAUCGGGAGGAACACCGGUGGCGAAGGCGGUUCUCUGGGCCGAUACUGACGCUGAGGAGCGAAAGCGUGGGGAGCGAACAGG
Molecule: ribosomal RNA, 253 nt
Filed under: uncultured bacterium
Lineage: Bacteria
Description: partial 16S ribosomal RNA
Rfam family: Bacterial small subunit ribosomal RNA
Source: RNAcentral